CAAAAAAGCAACCCCAUUCCUUUCAUCCAGAUAACUACUGUACCGGGAAAAAAAUUGGCCAGCAGCUUCAAUUGUCCAGGUAGAAUAAACUCCUCUUAUACCAAAAUCUUUGUUGUGCACAGGAUCAUUCAAUCCUUCUACAAGUGAACCAGUUAAGAAAUUUUGUGGAACCAACUUCGCACAGUGGUUGUACUUUGUCCACUCUGUACUCAGAAACGACUGCAUGACCAAG
RNAcentral lists this unclassified non-coding RNA (232 nucleotides) under Hevea brasiliensis (rubber tree). The record is from RNAcentral. Lineage: Eukaryota; Viridiplantae; Streptophyta; Magnoliopsida; Malpighiales; Euphorbiaceae.